Molecule: unclassified non-coding RNA, 117 nt
Organism: Papio anubis (olive baboon)
Lineage: Eukaryota; Metazoa; Chordata; Mammalia; Primates; Cercopithecidae
Rfam family: Metazoan signal recognition particle RNA
About the family: The signal recognition particle (SRP) is a universally conserved ribonucleoprotein. It is involved in the co-translational targeting of proteins to membranes.
Source: Ensembl
GCUGGGCAUGGUGGCUCAUGCCUGUAAUCCCAACACUUUGGGAGCCUGAGGCGGGUGGAUCACCUGAGGUCAGGAGUUCGAGACCAGCCUGACCAACACGGUGAAACCCCGUCUCUA